RNAcentral lists this transfer RNA (67 nucleotides) under Gilpinia sp. 2 GYN-2022c. Its description in RNAcentral is "tRNA-Pro". Lineage: Eukaryota; Metazoa; Arthropoda; Insecta; Hymenoptera; Diprionidae. The record is from RNAcentral.
CAGAAAAUAGUUUAUUUUAAAAUAUUAAUUUUGGAGAUUAAUGAUAGAAUUUUAAUUCUUUUUUUGA